Molecule: long non-coding RNA, 779 nt
Organism: Cyprinus carpio carpio
Lineage: Eukaryota; Metazoa; Chordata; Actinopteri; Cypriniformes; Cyprinidae
Source: Ensembl
UCUUUCCGUCUCUCACUGUUGUUUUUAUUGCUUUCAGAAAUGGUUCAGUGUCAUGGGAAUAAGUCCGUUAGCAUCACAACAGUGAGCUAACAGAGGCUAACUAUAAGAGCAGAGUUGGAGUGGACCUCUUGUUGAAGAACUUCUCCAGGCACUAUGAACCAUCUGACUAGUAAGAAAAACCUCAAACAUUCAGAAGUUUAUCAGAUAUUAAAAAUAUAUGUCAAAUAAAUAUCAAAUAUUUUUUGAGUCCUGUAUGUCUUACAAGGCCAUCCUGUUUAACACUGCACUGCGGACACUACAACCAGAGAGGUACAACAUAAUUCAAAAUGAGACACAGAUGAUAAUAAAAAAGUGCUUUGAAAUGAAAAUUAAUACUGGUAAGACAGAACCGAGAACUGUGACUGUGCCUCACUUCAAAGUGAAACAGUCUGUAAUGGUCAUCUGCCAUGCCAGAUCGAUGGUGCAGGUGGGAAUUAUAAGUACGAUUUUCUAAACUUUAAAUGUAGUAAAGUGUUUGUUCAAGUAGACUUUGUUGCUUGUGGAAACCUCACACAAGCCUGAAAGGUGCUAUAAACUUAAAAUCUUAUUUGCACUCUUGAAAACUGUUCACCAAAGACUAAAUUUCAGUCCAGCAGAAUUUUCUGCACACUUCACCACCAAGAUCAAAAUGAGCAUUGUGAAUGUAAAAGCUUCACAUUACAUUUAUAACCACCAUUGUUAAUAUUUGAAUUAUAUUGAAUUAUAUUAUGCCUUGAUAGUGGACAAUACCGGAUUUUUUG